UACGAAGGUAGCGAGCGUUGUUCGGAAUUACUGGGCGUAAAGCGCACGUAGGCGGAUUAGUAAGUCAGGGGUGAAAUCCCGGGGCUCAACCUCGGAACUGCCUUUGAUACUGCUGAUCUCGAGGCCGGAAGGGGAGAGUGGAAUUCCUGGUGUAGGGGUGAAAUUCGUAGAUAUUAGGAAGAACUCCGGUGGCGAAGGCGGCUCACUGGUCCGGUACUGACGCUGAGGUGCGAAAGCUUGGGGAGCAAACAGG
This 253-nucleotide ribosomal RNA is filed under the name uncultured bacterium. Its description in RNAcentral is "partial 16S ribosomal RNA". It matches the Rfam family "Bacterial small subunit ribosomal RNA", at positions 524 to 776 of the family's 1533-position model. The record is from RNAcentral.